UGAACGCUGGCGGCGUGCCUAAUACAUGCAAGUCGAACGAAACUUCUUUAUCACCGAGUGCUUGCACUCACCGAUAAAGAGUUGAGUGGCGAACGGGUGAGUAACACGUGGGCAACCUGCCCAAAAGAGGGGGAUAACACUUGGAAACAGGUGCUAAUACCGCAUAACCAUAGUUACCGCAUGGUAACUAUGUAAAAGGUGGCUAUACUACCGCUUUUGGAUGGGCCCGCGGCGCAUUAGCUAGUUGGUAGGGUAAAGGCUUACCAAGGCAAUGAUGCGUAGCCGAAUUGAGAGGUUGAUCGGCCACAUUGGGACUGAGACACGGCCCAAACUCCUACGGGAGGCAGCAGUAGGGAAUCUUCCACAAUGGGCGAAAGCCUGAUGGAGCAACGCCGCGUGGGUGAAGAAGGUCUUCGGAUCGUAAAACCCUGUUGUUAGAGAAGAAAGUGCGUGAGAGUAACUGUUCACGUUUCGACGGUAUCUAACCAGAAAGCCACGGCUAACUACGUG
RNAcentral lists this ribosomal RNA (510 nucleotides) under uncultured bacterium. RNAcentral describes it as "partial 16S ribosomal RNA". It matches the Rfam family "Bacterial small subunit ribosomal RNA", at positions 30 to 507 of the family's 1533-position model. The record is from RNAcentral.